Molecule: ribosomal RNA, 517 nt
Filed under: uncultured Pseudomonadota bacterium
Lineage: Bacteria; Pseudomonadati; Pseudomonadota
Description: bacterial SSU rRNA
Rfam family: Bacterial small subunit ribosomal RNA
Source: RNAcentral
AUCAUGGCUCAGAUUGAACGCUGGCGGCAUGCCUUACACAUGCAAGUCGAGCGGCAGCNCGGGGGCAACCCUGGCGGCGAGCGGCGAACGGGUGAGUAAUGCAUCGGAACGUGUCCUUUUGUGGGGGAUAACCAGUCGAAAGACUGGCUAAUACCGCAUGAGCUCGCAAGAGGAAAGCAGGGGACCCGCAAGGGCCUUGCGCGAGAGGAGCGGCCGAUGCCCGAUUAGCUAGUUGGUGGGGUAAUAGCCCACCAAGGCGACGAUCGGUAGCUGGUAUGAGAGUACGACCAGCCACACUGGGACUGAGACACGGCCCAGACUCCUACGGGAGGCAGCAGUGGGGAAUUUUGGACAAUGGGGGCAACCCUGAUCCAGCCAUGCCGCGUGUGUGAAGAAGGCCUUCGGGUUGUAAAGCACUUUCGGCCGGAACGAAAUCGCGCGGGCGAAUAUCCCGCGUGGAUGACGGUACCGGAAGAAGAAGCACCGGCUAACUACGUGCCAGCCGCCGCGGUAAUUC